AGUGAACGCUGGCGGUAGGCCUAACACAUGCAAGUCGAACGGCAGCACAGUAAGAGCUUGCUCUUACGGGUGGCGAGUGGCGGACGGGUGAGGAAUACAUCGGAAUCUACUUUUUCGUGGGGGAUAACGUAGGGAAACUUACGCUAAUACCGCAUACGACCUACGGGUGAAAGCAGGGGAUCUUCGGACCUUGCGUGAUUGAAUGAGCCGAUGUCGGAUUAGCUAGUUGGCGGGGUAAAGGCCCACCAAGGCGACGAUCCGUAGCUGGUCUGAGAGGAUGAUCAGCCACACUGGAACUGAGACACGGUCCAGACUCCUACGGGAGGCAGCAGUGGGGAAUAUUGGACAAUGGGCGCAAGCCUGAUCCAGCCAUACCGCGUGUGUGAAGAAGGCCUUCGGGUUGUAAAGCCCUUUUGUUGGGAAAGAAAAGCAGCAGGUUAAUACCCCGCUGUUCUGACGGUACCCAAAGAAUAAGCACCGGCUAACUUCGUG
RNAcentral lists this ribosomal RNA (492 nucleotides) under uncultured bacterium. Its description in RNAcentral is "partial 16S ribosomal RNA". It matches the Rfam family "Bacterial small subunit ribosomal RNA", at positions 29 to 507 of the family's 1533-position model. The record is from RNAcentral.